AACGCGAAGAACCUUACCUGGGCUCGAAGCGCAGUGGACCGGGGUAGAAAUAUCCCUUCCCCUUAAAAGGCUGCUGCGGAGGUGCUGCAUGGCUGUCGUCAGCUCGUGUCGUGAGAUGUUGGGUUAAGUCCCGCAACGAGCGCAACCCUCGUCCUAUGUUGCCAGCGGGUAAUGCCGGGGACUCAUAGGAGACUGCCGGGGUCAACUCGGAGGAAGGUGGGGAUGACGUCAAGUCAUCAUGCCCCUUAAGUCUUGGGCUGCAAACAUGCUACAAUGGCCGGUACAGAGGGCUGCGAGACCGCAAGGUGGAGCGAAUCUCAAAAAGCCGGUCUCAGUUCGGAUUGGGGUCUGCAACUCGACCCCAUGAAGUCGGAGUCGCUAGUAAUCGCGAAUCAGCAACAUCGCGGUGAAUACGUUCCCGGGCCUUGUACACACCGCGCAUA
RNAcentral lists this ribosomal RNA (443 nucleotides) under uncultured bacterium. Its description in RNAcentral is "bacterial SSU rRNA". It matches the Rfam family "Bacterial small subunit ribosomal RNA", at positions 958 to 1398 of the family's 1533-position model. The record is from RNAcentral.